GAACAUGUCCAUUGUUUGGCCAUUUCACAAAUUUCUAUCCAAUUAUUUCACUAAGUAAAGGCCUUCUAAAAUGUGCCCAAGUACACAUCCAACAUCAGUUCACAUGCCCUGAAUAACAAUUACAUUAGAUUACAAAUAUGGAACGCUGUACAGACCCUCUUAAUCAUCAAGUUCACCUCCGUAGCUCAAACUUCCUAAGCGCCUCUCACCACCAAGGAAACCUGUAAAAAACAAUAUGCUUCUGUUACAAUAUGCUCUCGAAACCUGUAACAAACUUCCUAAUAGAUACACUAAAGUAUCAAGAACAGCAAGUGGACUCUAUAUUACAAAAAUAUAUUUUGUGACGAAUCUAAUGAAACUAAUUCUGUAGUGAAGAUGUUGAUAUAGCUUCCUUUAAAAUUUGUCAAAUUCAGUUAAUUCGGAAUGGUAGAGAAAACAAGAAUUAAAUGAAAUGUUCAAGGUGGAGAUACUUCCGAAGUUACAUUGCACUUAACGUAAUUUACUAAACUAUAACCACUACCACUGGAUUUUCAUAACAGAUCCUACAUGAAACAAAUGCAAAUUUUGAUUAUUAUAUUUAGAAUUGGAUAAGAGCAAAUCCAUCAAACAUAGAACUUAUAUGAUGGUCUAUGGCAAUCUGAUCUCUACCAGUAAUGCAAGAAAUAACAAACCAGGCUGUGAGUAAUUCUGAACAAAAGAGCUAUACAGCCAACGAUGGUCCGCAGAAUAUUUCAGGGAAGUAUAUCUAAACUAUUAUAAAAUAAUUAUGACUGAAUAUGUACUGUAGUGUGAGAAUGUAGUAGUGAUUGCCGUCGUUGAUGAAGGUCCUGAAAUAUGUCAACUAAGGAACACUAUUUCAACAAUACAGAAAGGUAAAAAUGCUAGAACUUAAAGCGACAUCCAGUAAUACAUAAAGUGGAUAACUCCCUUUUCCCGAUAUAUCAAGCAGCUACAUUCCCUUUUAUUAGGCAAUAAGAAGAGAUACAAUUCUACUUUUCUCUUUCGACUCUGGAAAGACACAAAAAUGCAUAGCACAUACGAUUUUUCCCUAAGUUCUGGAAUUUUACAAUGCCUACAAACGAGAAUAACAAAGUAUAUAUGCUAAAACCAAUGGCAUCACUAACAAACAUUAUACAUGAUGCAGAGAAGUACAAAUUUAAUUUAUUGCAUGGCUUAAGUAAUUACCCAAGUAAUUCUUGCUAGAUUUUUCAAUAUCUUUGCCUUUUCAAGUCCUUGUGGAGGAGUUAAGUACAUUGCAAUUAUAUCAUUGCACAUGAAUUAGAGCACUAUGAGUUUUGAUCCAUCGUACAAAAUACUAUCAGUUUAAUUGUCACAAAAAAUUAAGAUUAGACACACCACAUGGAACUUCAAGCGGCUUGUUUAUCAUUUUGCAUCUUCGUCAAGUAUUUUAGGUACCUAUAGAACAAGACAGAGAGAAAUAAAUAAUUGCAUGUAUGAUGUAUCUCAAGAUUAAACUGUACAGCUACAUGUGUGGGCAGUCGAUAGCUACAUGAAAGUUUAUUAUCCAUUAACCAAAAAACAUAUAGGUUGAAAACUGCACAGCUAAAACAAGCCCAUUAACUAUAAACAAUAAAAGUCAUAUUUAUAUGAAAAGAAAAUGGCGGAAAGAAAACAGAAAGUACUCUCCUUAUUCUUGAAUUUGAAAGCUUUGUGACUUUAAUAGUAAUCAUUUCAGUAAGUAUAGGACCAGAAUCAUGGACUGAAUUUUUAGUUAGAAGAACAAGCAUUGAAUUAUGUGUAUUUUCAGUCAAGCUUACUUCCAGAAAACAUUAUACUUCACAAAUACAAACUGAGCCCUAGCCGAACAUAAGGGCAAAUAGAUGUUUGAGUAAAGUGUAUGCAUAACAUAAAAGGCAUGUGCACGAAAGGGCAGUGCAGAUAACAUCACCAAGUAAAAAAUGUUUCUGGUCCAUGUGAGAUAUCCAAAAUUAUGCUGGCAAGGACAGUGGAGAUAUCAUCACCAAGUAAAAAAUGUUUUUAGCUGUACAAAUACCAUUAGAUGCACUGACCGAUGUGGGAUCCAUCACCAUUAUGUGCAUGCAGAAACAUUGGACACUGCAGUAAAAUGUACCUACAGAAUCUGUAGAUACGAGUUUUUCUUCAGUUAGAUAUAAAAUGGUAUGAGUUUCUUAAUUCUAAAAGCUGACAGGAUAAAUCUUGCAGGCAAUUACUCUGAAUUAGCAGUGUUCAACUACAAAGCUAUGCUUGAUAUGCAACAAGAAUAGAAAUUUGCCUAGUACUUUUUGUUUCCAGUACAAAUAAAGGAACAAAGCACAGACAAUCUGUAACAAGCGAGUAACCCUCAAUGGUGCUCGUGCCCUUGCUGUUCGUGUUAAUGUCAAACAAGGCAGACACCUAGAUGUUUUCCCUGUACCGGUUCAACAUGGCCAACGAGGCCUGCAGCCAUCCUCUAACAGGAACGACUAGAUCCAUCCAUGGCCGGUGUUUUGCCCAAGUGUUUUGCUCGUCCCAGUGGUACUUUGUACUCCUCGGCAGAGCUCCAAAAAACCCUAUAUUACCAGAGAUGAACAGAGGGGGGCUGUAGGGUACGGGACCGGUGCAGAGGUACGUACUGACUCUUUCCGGCCGGAGAAGGUGAACAGCGGGGCGUAGAGGAGGCUGCGCACCACGGAUGGAGAAGACGACCGCGACAACGAGGGGACCGACGGUGGCGCAGCUGACGGACAAUUGGACCGAGCCACAAGGGUCGCCGAUGUACUCUGGAUCUGUGGCGGUGUUGCCACCUCCUGUACCUCACCUCAGCUCGCCGCCAGAUGGAGCUGGAUCAAUGCACGCCGCCAGCGACGACAGGGACGUACAAAUCUGGCAGUUGGUCCCACGGCCACCGCUGCCGCCUCAAAUCGACGGGUAUGACUGGAUUGCAAUAGCUCGAGGG
This 2917-nucleotide long non-coding RNA is filed under the name Triticum aestivum (bread wheat). RNAcentral's name for it is "long non-coding RNA (TAES_LNC025921)". Lineage: Eukaryota; Viridiplantae; Streptophyta; Magnoliopsida; Poales; Poaceae. The record is from RNAcentral.